UGCAGCGUUGCUGACGGUGAUGCCGUUGCCGGUGAGGUCGGCGAUGUUGCCGCCGGUGACGACGCUGUUCCAGUCAUCUGCCGCAGC
This 87-nucleotide transfer RNA is filed under the name Acidovorax sp. NB1. RNAcentral's name for it is "tRNA-Leu". Lineage: Bacteria; Pseudomonadati; Pseudomonadota; Betaproteobacteria; Burkholderiales; Comamonadaceae. The record is from RNAcentral.